CAAAAACCUUUUCCGGCUAAGCUUUUGAGGAAAUUAAACUGCAUGUGGCUGUUUUAAAAGGCGGGUUUUCAUGCGGUCACCUGAAGCUGUUUUUCUCUUUGUGCCUCAGAGUGAGAGGAUCUGGAGGAAGGCGAGACUCCUCUGUAUCUGUGCCCUCUCCUCCUUGUCAAACGUGGAGAGUAUGGGGGACCAGAUGGCCGGCAAAAUAAAAUAACUCGGGUAGGGUUGUAAGAGAUUAUUUAAUUGAAGAAAAGGUGGCAUGUGACACCAUUUUUAAGUAUGCAAAGAUACAGAGAGUGGCCAGCUGUUUUCCAUCUCGUAGGGGCGAUGCAGUCAGUCCUCCUCAAACUUGCUGAAACUCAGAUGCUUGGACCCCACCCUCGGAGUUUCCAGUCGAGUGGGUCUGGGCUGGGGCCCAUGAAUUUGCAUUUCUAACAAGCUGCCGGGUGAUGCUGGCCCUGCAGAUCAGCAGACCAGGCCUACAGUAUGCGGUUCUGGUCGGAAGCAGGCACAGGGGGUUUCAGCCCAACUUAGGGAACGCUUCAUCAGACAGCAGAGCAAGAGGAUUCUCUCCCCAAUCCUCCAAUUUUUAAUGUUUUUUUCUGGAGGCGUUAGAUUCUCACUUGGUUGGAAUAGAAUGAGUGGGGUUUUUCUUCCUUAAAAAGCAGAUGCUUCUAACUGUAGGAGCAAUUCAAAGGUGAAACGGCCCCAUUUUGAGGCACAGCACCCCAGCAGUCAGUGUUCACAGAGGAGGACAUGUUCGAGGAAAUGUGUUUCAGGACAUGCUGAACUGGUUCAUUCCAUCUCUAUGAUUCUAUGGGGAGCUGCCCACUGUGGACAGGACCAUGUGGUAAGAAUGAAUUCAGCUGGAGGAAACCUUGUAACAGUGGUUCACACAGCAGCAGCUCCAGCUCCAGGAACCACAACAGGGAGCAAAAGUGACAUCUACACAUUCUAAUCGCUCCAUGGUCUAGGGACCAGGGCAAAAGAGAGGAAUCAGGAAAAACCCAAGCUGUAUAAAUAUAGGUGGGGGAAUGACGGGUUAUGCCUAAGAAUAGAAAAAGAAAAACCCUCAGGGUCAGAGGAGGUGCUGAGCUGAGGGUAGCUUCAACGAAACUGUCUGGGGCAGAGUGCCAUGCUGGUUUCCACUUGCUGGCUUAGAAGAAGAGAGCUUUGACAGAAUUUACUGUGCCAUGUCCUUCCUCCAUUCGCAGCUUCUAAAUGAUUAAUGGAAGGCCAUAAGGAUGAGGGGAGACUCCAGAGGGAAGUGUUCAAAACGAUUACCUGCUUGGAAGAAAAGAAGCAGCCGGGAGGGGCUUUAAGAGAAUCAUUUAGCUUCUUCACCUGAGGGUAGGAGAGCCAAAUAGUCACCUAGAGGAAGAUGAGUUAGGAACCCUGUGAAACUGUGCCCUGAAGGGUCACUGGGAGAGGUGCUUCAAAACAACCGAUGAGACUCGCGGAAGGAUGGCUGCGCCCUCUGCCCGGGGCGGGAGUCACUGGAGCUGGGCUUGUGGGCAGCCGUCCUGCCUGCCUGCUGUUUGAUUUUAAUUCUCAUGCAUCCUGUACUUAAGCAGUACCUGGACUUCUCUGCUGUUCAAUUCCUCUGCAUGUUUGACAAUUUCUCUGACACCUCCUUGAUGGGGGACUCCAUGCUAAGUGUUGAGGUGGCUGGAAAGAAAGGCUGUAAACCAGGCGCCGUGCCCUACAGCAGCUUGCAGUUCCAUUCUGCUCUUGCCCUAUUAUUAUUACAUUUUUUUGCAAAACUGUUAUUCCAAAAGGCCAGCUGGGUCUAAAUAACCCAGGCAAAGUAGUCAGAGUGGGAUGGGGAAAGCUGUUCUGUUCACCUGGAUGAUCUUGUGAUAUUCAUAAAAACAUUGUUUACAUGGUUAGUUUCACAAGAGUGUUUCAAAACUAACUAACCGAAUGAAGAAGGCAAUAGACGGGAAUUUUAGGGGGGGAAAAAGGCUCAUUUUUAUCAUCUAAAUAUGUUAUCUUUAUUAACUAAAAUCCAUGUCCUUUUUAACGCUGAGCUCUUGGAUAGCUAUAAUUGUCCAGUUAAGGUAGCAAGGUGGUAUUCAGAACAGAGAAAUAUGUCUCUCAAAAGUCGUCUCCAAAGGCCUCAAAGUCGUCUGUCCGGUCUUGCUGCUUUUAAAAGUUGCAGAGACUCACACUCUGUGAGUGAGUUCAAAUACUUCCUUUUAUGCUGAAUAAAUAAACUUGCUUCCAAGUCAGGACGAGCAGAUAGUUCCAAACACUAGACACAUAAUGGCAUUUGGCAUGGGAGUCCUGGAUGUGGUCUCUAAAAUCAGCUAUGAGGACAUUCUGAACCUUUUUUAAAAAGCACAAAUUCAUCUUGUCAUUUUUGGUACAAGUGAUAUUCAUAUGUACAUAAUAUUCUCUCUCUUUAUAUGUAUGUAUACAUAUACCUUGCUGUAUCACUUGGUAUAAUAACCAGGCUUUUUACUCAGUCAAGUGUCUGGCAGUGGGGGGGUGGGAGGCGCUCAGAGUUCAGCAGGAGGGCAUCAGGCAAGUGUGGUGGGAUGGAGCUCACAGAAUUCAAACGUCAACUAUUUCACACUUUUGCCAGAGGGCAUUCCUGAGCUCCACGAGGAGAGUGCUCUGAGUAGAAGGCUAUUAGAGACCCUUGGCCCCCAAGGGCCUCAGGCCUGUUCCACUAAUUUUUUAGAGGAGGAAACUGAGGCACAACGUGGCUGGAAGAUGAAUGAUCAGAUAUCCUUGGUUUUGUGCUUUUUUCCCACUACAAAAGUUUUUCUUAGUGAGCAAAAGAAGGAAAUCAGAUAGGCUAAGUGCCUGGCCCAAGGUCAUUCAGGGAUUUUGUCCAAGGUCAAAGUGUUGCUGGCUUGGGGAUCCACCUGGAACAUUCUUGACUAGUGACCAGGAGGCAAAGGUCUCAUCUAGAGUUAACUGGGGCCUCUCCAGAGAAACGUUCCUGGGGAGGCUUUGCAUCUUAGUUCUUUGGAGCUGGAAGGAGAGGAAAAAGAGAAAAGAAUGGAUUGAACCGUUUUCAGGGUCAAGGUAUGGAUCUGAGGUGUAAGGAAGCUGACAAUGUUGCACUUGGCUCUUGGCUUGAAUGGGUUUGAUUGCUAAGAAGGGCCUCCUGCGGGUUAGAUAAUUUUACAUUAUGCAUUCGAGCUGGAAAGAGCUGUCCCUGGAAGCAGACAUGGCCCUGGGCAGACUCCUCCUUUACCAUUUCCUGGUAGCCUUACGGGGCCCACAGAUAUGUCAUUUAGCUUGUACUGUGCAGGCCCACGCAGUGUUUAAAAAUAAUCAAACUAGUUGCCAACACGUAAAAGAGCUGGUUGUUUUCUCCCUUCUCCUAAAAAAAAAUCCAAAGACCAGAAAACAGAAACCUGGCCAGUGGGGCCCACAUUCCCAGGCAGCAACAAUGGUCUAGGACCUUCGGUGCUGCCUUUUUACACGGGACCCAAUCCCCAGGUCAGACAGAGCCCGCAGGCCCUGCCGCCACCGCCCGGGGCUCCCUGCCUGCCCGUGCCUGCCUCACAGCCUCCUCCUCCCCUGCUCUACCUGCCACCCCAGCAUCUAUGAGCAACUGGGGCUGCAGACUUUUCUAACCCAGCUGUGCGCUCAGACUUCCCCCGCGGAGCCCUGCUCUGCCUCUCAAAGCCCUGCUGUCUUCCAGGCGGCAUCCACAAACUGGACAGUUUCACACGCUUAAAUCUUACACUCUCGAAUGACACCAUCCUCACAGGAGUUUUCUGGACCUGCUGGAAAGAGUAUGUAUGGUGGUGCGAAUUUUAUAUCAGGCAAUAGGCCGGGUGGAAAGAGAUUUUGGUACAGGUGAUCUGCCUGUUGUGCCAGCCUAGGGGGUUUCUGUCCCUUCUUGAGAGGGGACCCACCCGAGAUUUGAGAUCUCUAACUAGGUGGUAGGGCGGUGGAGCAGUUACAGCCCUCCCCAGAGCUGUCCCAGGAAAGGAGAGGAGGCCUCCCCACCCCCACAGCCACCUCCAGAUGUCCCAGCAAGGAACUUCUCUCAGGGCCUCCUUCCGGGCCAGGCCAGCCUUGACUGGGAAUCAAGCGCAUGACGAACCCAUCAGAGCCACCUGUGAUGCCAAUGGGGCGCCAGGCCUCCUGGCAAAGGGUCAGCCACUGCUUAGGGAAAUACGUUGCUCCUCCCUUGCCCUGCAGGUACAGCUCCAAGGUCAAACCAGGCUGAAGGGCGGCCAAGGCAGGACGGCACCAGCCUGGCAGCCCAGGGCACAGGGAGCUCAUUUACCUAUAAUUUCGCUCCUGCCUUUUCCCCUCCCCCGUGGCUGGCCCCAUAUGGUUCUGUUCUACGGUCACCAGACUGGCAGCUGGUUUAGUUCCUACAGCUUUUCCUUCCCCUUCUCCAAACUUCUAGCUUUAGGAAGUACUUAACAAGUCUUAUGUUUAAACGAGAACAUGGCAGGGGCCUGGGAACCCUCAGGAACAACAGGCAAUGACUUCCCUCAUAUCCCCGAGCUUUUGUUCCUAGCCCAGAAGUUACCGGAUGAGUGUGGAAAAAUCAUGUGAUCUGAGAGACAGCAAGGGAAGGAGGCGAGAGAGGGAGAGUGAAUGAGAGAAAGAGAACAGAGAUUGGGAAGCAAGUUCUUAAAGUUCCAGGGUCCCUGGCAAACAUGGCUAAUUUGCCUAGGUUUGCGAGAACAGGAGAUUUAAUGAGCUUAAUUUCAAGUUAUAUAAUCUAUUAUCAGUCUACACACGGAUUCACAGCCCAGAUUUAGAUCUAGGAGGAAAAAAAGUGAUGGAAAAACUGAGGGCCUGCAAAUUCACUGCUUAAAAAUAAAAUGGCCAGUUUGCUUCAUUGUGAGCAUCUUGAUUCUGUAGGGAGAUUAUCAGGUAUCAGGAAUGACUUGUAUGAAGUCAGAGCACAUUUGUUGAGUGGCUGGUGAGUGCCUAACCUCCGCUCUCAAGGAAUCCAUAGUCUAGCUGGGUUAAGAAGGCAUGGAGUUUGGAAAGGAUUAAUAACAGCCGAUGUUAGCCAAACAAGGUCAGAAGCUGUAGGAAUAAGAACAUUUCUUAGCCAAAACCAGUGCUGUGAGUUUUUAGAUGAAGAGAAAAAUAGACCCUUUGCAGAAGGUUUUGCUGAAUUUGGCAUUUGGUUUCUACACAAUAUCAACCCAGUGUUUGCCCAGACAAGAACUAUGUCCUAUUUCUAGCAUCUAGAACAUGUUGACACACAGUGUAAGGGCUCAAUUCAUGCUUGUUGAAUGAAUGAGUGAAUGAAUGAAUUCAGGUAAAGAAGGCAGACAUCUUCCUCGGUUCUUCGGCAUCCCUUUCAGGCACACUUCCCAGCAGAAGCAGAUUAUCAGGGUCAUAAGCCCUCCCCAAAUGGGCCAAGACAGCACUCUUGGCCAGACUCCUUUGCCAGCACAGUAGCAAUUAUGUUACUUAUAGCCAAGUGACCCUGGGCAGGUGCCUGUGUCCCUCCAGCCACUGUGCCAUCUGUCAAGCAAUACCCACUUCAUGGGGUUGGGGAAUGUCAAGAGAGAGUGCAGCAAAGCUCUUAACAAAAUGCUACGGGGAGAUCAGAAAAGGAACCUGCUUUUGUACAACCCGUCCUAAAUCGCAUGUGAGAAAAUUGCACAUUACCUGCCCUAAGAGACCUGUUUAAUUAUUUUUAAGAAAAACUUUCUUUGGUCCUUCUCUUUCCAACUUAAAAAGAAGACUUUGUUCAUGGAUAAAUGUAAUUUUUGGGGAAAACAUGCACUAGCAUGGCAAGCCAGGAGAACCAACCUUUAGGGAAGGACUCACGGCCUCCCCCAGAGCAGACCAGGGCCCCCGCCUCCCGCAACGUCGGCGGACAGGAUUAAACCUAGCGGCGACGGCUGGGCGGCAUUUCUGUGGCAGCCGCCCCGCACCCACGGCACCCUGCAAGCCGCAGCUCCCACCUUCUGCCACGCUGGAAGCAGGCCAUCCGGGCGGCUUGUUCAGUGCUCAAGCUUAUCAGUAAAACGAGCCUUCAGAGGACAGGUUUGCCACGGGACAAAGGGACAAAGUCCAGGUAACCGGUCACGCACACGUCUUUCUCUGCCACAAACUCCACCCUCAAGCCAGUUUGCUCCCCCAUGAAACGGGGGGACUUAGAAAUUCUGCAGGGAUGAACGAUGACAUUGCUCACUGGAGGGGACCAAGAGGGUCUGAUUUCCAGGAAGCAAUCCCAGCCUGAGAGACAGGGCUGCCUCCGGCGUGUAGAUGGAGGCAGGGAACCAACGGG
RNAcentral lists this long non-coding RNA (6235 nucleotides) under Equus asinus (donkey). RNAcentral describes it as "lncRNA (ENSEASG00005025416.1)". The record is from RNAcentral. Lineage: Eukaryota; Metazoa; Chordata; Mammalia; Perissodactyla; Equidae.